RNAcentral lists this ribosomal RNA (253 nucleotides) under uncultured bacterium. Its description in RNAcentral is "partial 16S ribosomal RNA". It matches the Rfam family "Bacterial small subunit ribosomal RNA", at positions 524 to 776 of the family's 1533-position model. The record is from RNAcentral.
UACGAAGGGGGCUAGCGUUGCUCGGAAUGACUGGGCGUAAAGGGCGCGUAGGCGGAUGGCACAGUCAGAUGUGAAAUUCCCGGGCUUAACCUGGGGGCUGCAUUUGAUACGUGUGAUCUAGAGUGAGGAAGAGGGUCGUGGAAUUCCCAGUGUAGAGGUGAAAUUCGUAGAUAUUGGAAAGAACACCGGUGGCGAAGGCGGCGACCUGGUUCAUUACUGACGCUGAGGCGCGAAAGCGUGGGGAGCAAACAGG